GGAGAGGUGCGUGAGAUGGCUGAAACGGCAGUCCUGGAAAGACUGUGUGCCUUUACGGGUACCGUGGGUUCGAAUCCCACCCUCUCCG
Molecule: transfer RNA, 88 nt
Filed under: bacterium
Lineage: Bacteria
Description: tRNA-Ser
Rfam family: tRNA
About the family: Transfer RNA (tRNA) molecules are approximately 80 nucleotides in length. Their secondary structure includes four short double-helical elements and three loops (D, anti-codon, and T loops).
Source: RNAcentral